Molecule: ribosomal RNA, 513 nt
Filed under: uncultured archaeon
Lineage: Archaea
Description: bacterial SSU rRNA
Rfam family: Archaeal small subunit ribosomal RNA
Source: RNAcentral
AACCUCCACAAUGUGGGAAAUCCACGAUGGGGGGACUCCAAGUGGACGUAUUUUAUACGUCCUGUUCCCGAGCCUAAAAAGCUCGGGAAGUAAGGGCCGGGUAAGACGGGUGCCAGCCGCCGCGGUAAUACCCGCGGCCCGAGUGGUGCUCAUUAUUAUUGAGCCUAAAGCGUCCGUAGCUGGCCGGGUAAAUCCCUGGGGAAAUCAGGCGACCUAAUCGACCGAAGACCAGGGACACUACUUGGCUUGGGAUUGGGAGGGGGUGAUAGUACUUCUUGGGUAGGGGUAAAAUCCUGUAAUCCAAGGGGGACUACCAGUGGCGAAGGCGAUCACCUAGAACAAAUCCGACAGUGAGGGACGAAGCCCUAGGGCGCAAACGGGAUUAGAUACCCCGGUAGUCUAGGGUGUAAACGCUGCAGACUUGGUGUUGGGGGUCCUGAGGGGACACCCAGUGCCGGAGCGAAGGUGUUAAGUCUGCCGCUUGGGGAGUACGCUCGCAAGAGUGAAACUUAA